CAUUUGGCUCUUGAUUCUUCGGGGAAAGCAGCUGUAGCGAAAUGAGAAUACAGGACCCCCUCCUCACACGCGCACACCCUGGUUCGCACGCAUUCCGGUACCCGUCACCUCGGAGCCAGCGAGACCUGGGAUCCAAAUGCGGUUCUGCCUCCUCCGGCCGUGGAGCACUGCAGUGUCGUCCUCCACGAGCCUCCCUGCCCCUGCUCCUGAUUCCCUUUCAGGAAUUUACAAACAUUUUCCCCAGAUCAAUAUCCGUAUUGAUUAUUCAUUGUGAGUGAGUCGUGUGUCUUUGGUGAUCCAGCUUGCAGAGGUAGCAGCCAAAGGCUGCUGCAGGGGGAAAAAAAUAACAGAAGGCGAGAGGGACCCAGCUCUUGCUGGGUCUGCGGCUGUCGGCAACACAGAAGGGAAGAGAAAAAGAGAAAAGCACCUCAAAACCAAGGAAUGGACAAGGGUGGAAGAGAAAGAGGGAGCAAUAGCAAGAAAAAAGGAAUUGAUGACCGGACAUCUGGUCCCAGGGAAUCUCGAUGGCUUGGAGGAAACCCCCAUCUUGGGUCUGCUGUUACGUGCAGGACGCAGUGGACUUUCUCUGCUCUGGGAGUGAAAAGUGACUCACAGUUUUGGUAUCUCCUACGUAAGAGCUUUGGGGGGAUUCCUUGGCUUGCUGACAGGCAAGGAAGACAGCAGCAGCAGUGAGGUAAAACACGAUUACUUCCAACUGCCUUGCGGAGGAUGUGCAGUCGUUUGGUUUGACUUGAACAGCUUGCUGCUCUCUGAUGGCACGCGGAGGGAGAAUAAUUAAAAAGGCCAGCAUCACUUACUAAGUGAGUAAACACAGAGCCGUUCCAAUCGUGCUCUCCAGCUAAUGAGAAGCUGUAAUUUCUUAUACUUCAAGGCAAGACGAGACAGUGAUGGGCUCAGUGGAGGGUGUGUUUGCGUGGAUAUGGGGUUGGGGGGGUAGUGGUGAUGGUAGAGAUAGAUCGACUAAUUGUUGGCAAUGUUUAAGAAAGGGAUUACUGGAAAAGACAGUGAAAUGAUGACAGGAAAACAUCUUGGACCAGAGCCAAAAAAAAAAAAAAAAAAAAAUCGAGGCAAAUCAAGUCUGCAGCUCGGAGAAAACACCCGUCGCUCCAGUGGGAAGCUCCGACAGGAAUUGCCCGAUGUUCCUUAGCCAAGUAUGGAAUAUUGUGUGGGCACAAGGGGACAGAAUGAGGGACCACCAGAGUCUGGAGGAAAGAGCCACGAUAUGCCAGGGUACACAGUGAUGUCAUACGUGGAGAAAAAAAUGAAAACCCCCAAACCAGACCAGAUCAAACCAAAACAAUAAAAACCAACUUGUGUCCUUUCCUUGUUAUGGGAGGCUUCUGCUUCAAUUUAUUAAAAGCAACCCCCAAAUGUGCCUUCUGAUAGUAGGAGCUGCUGAGUCUCUGUCUCCAGAAGCUGCUGCAAGGUUAUGGAAAGACGCUGCAAAAAGGAGGUUGAGGAAAUUCAGUUUUCCAUUGGUUGGGUUUCUGGCAACUGUGCCAGGCGAUUGUCUGCCAUUUGGACAGCCAUGGGGGUGCCAGUUUGGGAUUCCUCUUCUGUUGUCACCCAGCUGUGGCUUGGUGAGUCCCAAACCACCCAUAAAUAGGACUCUCUUAAUACAGUGUUCCAAACGCACAUGACAAAGUGGGGACCCCAAGUAAUAAAAUGAGCUGGGUUUUCUUUCU
RNAcentral lists this long non-coding RNA (1706 nucleotides) under Macaca fascicularis (crab-eating macaque). Its description in RNAcentral is "lncRNA (ENSMFAG00000063871.1)". Lineage: Eukaryota; Metazoa; Chordata; Mammalia; Primates; Cercopithecidae. The record is from RNAcentral.